Long non-coding RNA from Mytilus trossulus (common blue mussel), 645 nucleotides. RefSeq lists it as uncharacterized. The transcript is spliced from 4 exons. The record is from RefSeq and is a predicted model, not a curated record. Lineage: Eukaryota; Metazoa; Mollusca; Bivalvia; Mytilida; Mytilidae.
UGCUAAUUCGUGUAUUCUAUAUUUCUGUUGUUGGAUGUAUAAUGUUCUAAAUAGGAAAAGAAAUGGUGUAAAGAAACUCUAUGAGGUGGACUCUUCAAGAGAGAGUUUACUCUUACUAGGAUCACCUGAAGAAAAAAGAAGGAUUCACAAUAAACAAGGGGAAAAAAGACAAAUGACAGAAAAUGACAGACGACAAAGAAAAUGACAAAAAGAUUAAAAGAUAGCAACUGGAUACAGGCACGUGAACAAGCUAAAAUCCAUGUGUUGGGGGUAAAAAAUCCUCUCAGAUAAAACAGUUAAGAACAAUUACAAGGCAAAUGGAGAAACACAUUUAAAAAUGGUUGAGUUGUUGCAGGGUGUGAUAAAACAAUAAGAAACAGAAUUUUAGGGUUCUUUUUGAUGAUAUUGCUAUUCACCUAUUUCGGUUCUUAUACAUCCUAAAGCUAUCACAUAUUCGGCUUUGAGCCUUCCUGAUGAAGGUAAACCAGACAAGUUUUUGGACGCAUGAUAUUUUGAAAGAGUUGUUUUGAUUUUAUUAAAGAGAGAAUAAAAGAAGAAAAUUUUACAUUUAGGUUUGACUAACAUAUUAAGAUCGAGUGAUGAAUCGAGACAUACAUAAUGCGACUAAAGAUCCUCUUCAACACU